This 407-nucleotide ribosomal RNA is filed under the name uncultured bacterium. RNAcentral's name for it is "partial 16S ribosomal RNA". It matches the Rfam family "Bacterial small subunit ribosomal RNA", at positions 30 to 526 of the family's 1533-position model. The record is from RNAcentral.
AUUGAACGCUGGCGGCAGGCCUAACACAUGCAAGUCGAGCGGAGCGGCGGACGGGUGAGUAAUGCCUAGGAAUCUGCCUGGUAGUGGGGGAUAACGUCCGGAAACGGGCGCUCAUACCGCAUACUAUCAGAUGAGCCUAGGUCGGAUUAGCUAGUGGGUGGGGUAAAGGCCUACCAAGGCGACGAUCCGUAACUGGUCUGAGAGGAUGAUCAGUCACAAUGGAACGGGGGAACGGUCCAGACUCCUAAGGGAGUAAGACGUGGGGAAUAUGGGAAAAUGGGCGAAAGCCGUAUCCAGCCAGGCCGCGUGUGGGAAGCAGGUUUUCGGAUUGUAAAGUACUUUAAGUUGGGAGGCGUUACCAACAGAAUAAGCACCGGCUAACUUCGUGCCAGCAGCGGCGGUAAUAC